AAUCAGCUAUCAAGCCGACCGGUGGCAAGGAAUAAGGGCCGCUGGAAAGAAGCGGGACCCAGAAACUGCUGGAAGGAAGCAGAAAUCAGGGCUGCUGGAAGGAAGCAGAACCCAGGGCUGCUGGAAGGAAGCGGGACCCUGGAGAAGCCACUGGAAGGAAGUGGGACCCAGAAACUGCUGAAAGGAAGCAGGAAUCAGGGCUGCUGAAAGGAAGCAGGAAUCACGGCUGCUGAAAGGAAGCGGAAACCAGGGCCGCUGGAAGGAAGCGGAACCCAGGGCCGCUGGAAGGAAGCAGGACCCGAGAUAAUCUGCUGGAAGGAAGUGGGACCCCAGAGAAGCUGGUGGAAGGUAGCAGGACACAGAAACUGCUGAAAGGAAGCACGAAUCAGGGCUGCUGAAAGGAAGCAGGACUCAGGGCUGCUGAAAGGAAGCAGAACCCAGGGCCGCUGGAAGGAAGUGGGACCCAAAGAAGCCGCUGGAAGGAAGUGGAACCAGGCAGCCACAUUCAUUUCUGCAGGACAGAGGUCCUUCUGCUGGGAGCACCACCCUUGGCAGGCAGCGGAGGCAGCUCCAUCUCAGGACACCAUCUGCGUCAUCUGCCUGGAGCCCGUGGGGGACAGCACGUCCUACCACACCAUGGUGUGCCCAGUGUGCAAACAGGCCUCGUUCCACCGGGGCUGCAUCAGGAAACAGGCCAUGCAUGCUGCCAUCCUGUGCUACUUCUGCCCCGUCUGCAGUGAAAAGGCGUGAUUCUGCUCAGAAAUGACCAUCAUGGGAAUCCAAACCCCAGUCAGGUUGGUGUCCUUCUGCCCAGCUCUGCAGACACUCAGGCACAGGUGCUGUGCCUGCCCAGGCCUGGGUCUUUGCUGUCCUGUGAGCACUGGUCUCAGCUUCAUGGAGAAGCUGGGAAUGAGCUCAAGGUGGAUGAGCAGGGAUGCCCUGGAUCUGCCUCGCGCCUAGGGCGCCGGGGGCUCGUCACUUUCCCUCCUU
This is a long non-coding RNA of Numida meleagris (helmeted guineafowl), 990 nucleotides long. RefSeq lists it as uncharacterized. The record is from RefSeq and is a predicted model, not a curated record. Lineage: Eukaryota; Metazoa; Chordata; Aves; Galliformes; Numididae. The transcript is spliced from 3 exons.